CAAGUCGAACGAGAAUCUACUGAAAGAGUUUUCGGACAAUGGAUGUAGAGGAAAGUGGCGGACGGGUGAGUAACGCGUGAGGAACCUGCCUUGAAGAGGGGGACAACAGUUGGAAACGACUGCUAAUACCGCAUGACGCAUAGAGGUCGCAUGAUCUUUAUGCCAAAGAUUUAUCGCUUCAAGAUGGCCUCGCGUCUGAUUAGCUAGUUGGCGGGGUAACGGCCCACCAAGGCGACGAUCAGUAGCCGGACUGAGAGGUUGAACGGCCACAUUGGGACUGAGAUACGGCCCAGACUCCUACGGGAGGCAGCAGUGGGGAAUAUUGGGCAAUGGGCGCAAGCCUGACCCAGCAACGCCGCGUGAAGGAAGAAGGCUUUCGGGUUGUAAACUUCUUUUAAGAGGGAAGAGCAGAAGACGGUACCUCUAGAAUAAGCCACGGCUAACUACGUGCCAGCAGCCGCGGUAAUACGUAGGUGGCAAGCGUUGUCCGGAUUUACUGGGUGUAAAGGGCGUGCAGCCGGGUCUGCAAGUCAGAUGUGAAAUCCAUGGGCUCAACCCAUGAACUGCAUUUGAAACUGUAGAUCUUGAGUGUCGGAGGGGCAAUCGGAAUUCCUAGUGUAGCGGUGAAAUGCGUAGAUAUUAGGAGGAACACCAGUGGCGAAGGCGGAUUGCUGGACGAUAACUGACGGUGAGGCGCGAAAGUGUGGGGAGCAAACAGGAUUAGAUACCCUGGUAGUCCACACUGUAAACGAUGAAUACUAGGUGUGCGGGGACUGACCCCCUGCGUGCCGCAGUAAACACAAUAAGUAUUCCACCUGGGGAGUACGAUCGCAAGGUUGAAACUCAAAGGAAUUGACGGGGGCCCGCACAAGCGGUGGAUUAUGUGGUUUAAUUCGAAGCAACGCGAA
Molecule: ribosomal RNA, 908 nt
Filed under: uncultured bacterium
Lineage: Bacteria
Description: bacterial SSU rRNA
Rfam family: Bacterial small subunit ribosomal RNA
Source: RNAcentral